This 433-nucleotide ribosomal RNA is filed under the name uncultured bacterium. RNAcentral's name for it is "partial 16S ribosomal RNA". It matches the Rfam family "Bacterial small subunit ribosomal RNA", at positions 29 to 507 of the family's 1533-position model. The record is from RNAcentral.
AACGAACGCUGGCGGCAUGCCUAACACAUGCAAGUCGAACGAGACCUUCGGGUCUAGUGGCGCACGGGUGCGUAACGCGUGGGAACCUGCCCUUAGGUUCGGAAUAACUCCCCGAAAGGGGUGCUAAUACCGGAUAAUGUCUUCGGACCAAAGAUUUAUCGCCUUUGGAUGGGCCCGCGUUGGAUUAGCUAGUUGGUAGGGUAAAAGCCUACCAAGGCGACGAUCCAUAGCUGGUCUGAGAGGAUGGUCAGCCACACUGGGACUGAGACACGGCCCAGACGCCUACGGGAGGCAGCAGUGGGGAAUAUUGGACAAUGGGCGAAAGGCUGAUCAAGCAAUGCCGCGUGAGUGAUGAAGGCCUUAGGGUUGUAAAGCUCUUUUACCCGGGAUGAUAAUGACGGUACCGGGAGAAUAAGCGCCGGCUAACUCCGUG